AGGCUUUGAAAUCGGAAAAGACAGAGCGCGAGCAGCCGUCCGAGGAGCUAAUGCAGCAAAAGCUGGUUUCUUAGAAAGAUGGCGUUUGCCAUCAAGGUCACAUGGCCACUUUAGGGGACUAAACGAGAUACUAGUGAGAAUGAUAGGAACAGCCACCUAGGAUUCAGAUUUUCAGAAGCAGUUUCGAAUCCAAUUUUUUUUUUGUCAGUUAAAUUCAUAAGCACAUGGAAACAUAAGUCCUAAAAACCAUCAAAACGACAUUUGAAGGAGGUGGAUUUUCACUGGGGCGCUUCUCUCUCAGGGAGCUGGAAAGAGUGAGGGAUCCCAGGAGUCAAGAGGACUGCAGAACCAGAAGGCAGCUGGGUGCCAGGCCAGAAGGCAACGUGGGAGACCCCAGAGCGACUCUACCCUACUGGAAGGAAGCUGGCCUCCUCCUAUAGAUGCUGGGCGGCGCUCCGGAGCUCGCAACUUAGGAAGGAAGCUGCUAUCUUCCAUCUCGGACACCAGGUGGCACCAAAUCACAAGCAUAACGCCAAAGAAAACUGGCAGGAAAUGGACCUUGAGAGUCCUUGAACUAUUUUUCUCCCUCCCUAUUCCCCACAUGGAAUUGAAAAAUAAGAAACCUUUCAGAUAUGGUGGAUAAUUCUAAUUCAGUAAAAACACUUUAAUCUUCCAGCGGAAGGUUCCUAGGAUUUAAAUGCAGCCUUAGUCCCCACCCUUCCCGGAGACCUAGUUCUCAGCAGCAGAUAAGGAAAAUGGUGACUUUCCUGGAAUCAUUUCAGAUGCCUCCACCCUCCAGAAGAGUUGUUUUUCUCCCAGGUGGUAAGCUGAGAAGUAGCAGACACCAGACUUCAGAGGCUCUACUCAAAUCCUGGGCCCCCUUCUGAAGGGCCAAGUGCUCUGUCAUGUGUGUGCUAGGAAAUGACCAUGUCUAAACAAGUUGUAAUGUGGCCAACCAGCCUCAUGGCCUCUUGCAUCCAAACAGGACCACUUCCAGCCCCCACAAAUACACUCCA
Molecule: long non-coding RNA, 1016 nt
Organism: Bos taurus (domestic cattle)
Lineage: Eukaryota; Metazoa; Chordata; Mammalia; Artiodactyla; Bovidae
Source: Ensembl